Molecule: non-coding RNA, 59 nt
Filed under: Peptococcaceae bacterium CEB3
Lineage: Bacteria; Bacillati; Bacillota; Clostridia; Eubacteriales; Peptococcaceae
Also listed under: 1 other name
Description: Desulfitobacterium sp. enrichment culture clone CEB3 Fluoride riboswitch aptamer (crcB RNA motif)
Rfam family: Fluoride riboswitch aptamer (crcB RNA motif)
Source: Rfam by way of RNAcentral
AAAAACCCAGGCGAUGGGGCUCGCUUAUUUGCCUGAAGGCUGAUGGCUCCUACCUUCAA